This 253-nucleotide ribosomal RNA is filed under the name uncultured bacterium. RNAcentral's name for it is "partial 16S ribosomal RNA". It matches the Rfam family "Bacterial small subunit ribosomal RNA", at positions 524 to 776 of the family's 1533-position model. The record is from RNAcentral.
UACGGAGGGGGCAAGCGUUAUUCGGAAUUAUUGGGCGUAAAGGGCGCGUAGGCGGCUAGAUGUGUCAAAGGUGAAAUCCCUCGGCUCAACCGAGGAACUGCCUUUGAAACUGUCUGGCUUGAGGCCGGGAGAGGGUAGCGGAAUUCCCAGUGUAGCGGUGAAAUGCGUAGAUAUUGGGAGGAACACCAGUGGCGAAGGCGGCUACCUGGACCGGUUCUGACGCUGAGGCGCGAAAGCGUGGGUAGCAAACAGG